This 840-nucleotide long non-coding RNA is filed under the name Homo sapiens (human). RNAcentral's name for it is "HSALNT0021281". The record is from RNAcentral. Lineage: Eukaryota; Metazoa; Chordata; Mammalia; Primates; Hominidae.
UUUGAUACCCAAAGAAGAACCAAUAAGAAGAUGUAAAAGUCAGUGAUGCUUGCAAACACAAUAGCAAUCCUUCAAUAACUAAACAGACUAAAUUGGGAGAUUUUUAGACCCAUAUAAAAACAGGUUCAACUCAUAGCCGCUUCUGAAAACCUACUUUGUGCCUGCAUUUCAGCCAUUUCCCAGACAAUGUGCUUUAUUCCCUCCUGGUGGGUGGUUGGGGGCGGGGCAGAGGGGGCAGGGAGUACAUUUUCCAGGUUCUAGAGAAGUUAUAAUCAUGUUCUCUGGAGAGAGUAAUAUUUACCACACAGCAGAACACUUCAGUCAGACUUUGUUUCCCUCUAACAUUGUGUAGGCAAAAGACUUUGGUACCUCAACUCGAGCUUUUUCCCUUUUCAUCUGGUUGUCCUAGUAGAGUGUCAACACAGGCAGGAAUAGAUUAAAAUGAAGGGACACUAUACUGUUAUUCACCAACACCCCUGGAGGCUGUGGCCCUGGGUUGAGUAAGACGGCUUGGCUUUCUCUUCUUAAUGUUUGAGAAAUCUCCUGAUAACUUGCUUAGUAUCCAAACUGACUAAACCCAGCAUACUUUAAAGAUGAGAGAAUAAUGCUCUUUUUGGAAAAGAGACUGCCAAUUUGAAUGAAAGUCAAGGGCUUCAGACAAACUGCAAUCUCAAAGCCCUCUGGACCUCUCCUUGCUUUUAAUGAAAGUUUAAAAUGAUCUUGUAAGAUUCUCGUAAAAACUGCUAAACACAAACGUACUUCUGAAUUUUGGUAAUCAAAAAUCAUGAGUGUAUAAAGCUGUACCUUGCUUGGAAAGAUAAAAUAACAAAACCCUGUGAA